CACACAAACACAAAAAAGCAUUAAGCGAACAUAUAUUUUAAUUAUAGACUGAUUUAUUAGUAAUUGAAAUUAAUCUACAAAUUUAAGCAUAAAUCUGAAUAAACGCAGGAAUAAUAAUUAAACCAAGAGUUAAAUACAAAAUGCAUGUGCAUGUGAUUUUAUGUUUGUUUUCUAUCCUUUUUUGUGAUAAACAAACGAAAUACUUGAAAAUGACAAAAACAACAACAACAACAACAAAAAAAACAACAACAUCGAUAACGGCCAAUAGAACGAUAAUUGAAUAUACGGUAUAUUUGUACUCACCAUGCGGCGCACAAAUGUAUUUGGCCGGCGGUUGAGAAAGAAGAUAACUCUAAACAAUAAUUGAAAUACUUUAUGGCAUAAUUAUCGUAACAAUAAAUGAAGUAAAUCCUAAAUUCCUUUGUAAAGUUUUGUUCGGCUUUUUAAUUGUAAUAUCUAGAGAUUUAAGUCAUUUUUAUUGGUAACUCACCUUUUUUUUAGUUCACCUCAUUUCAUUGAGUGCAAGUGCAACUAUAACUGUAAGCUGUCAACUGCUCUCUUGCUCUCUCAUCAGCAGCAGCUGCAGCAGGCUAUCGAUCAGGACUGUCGAAUGGGCAAGUGAAGUACCACGCUGACAAAAUUCCAAUGCAUACUUUCCGGGGCAACAAUUGCAAGCAGUGCACUUGCUUGAAAAUCACACACACAGGUACAACAUCGUAUGCUAUAAUUGAUGCAUAAGGAUGUGAAGAACAGAGAGCAGCAGCUACUUUUACUGACGGCUACUCAGAGGAUGAAUAUUUCGGAGCAUAUUGCCAAUUUCGCAAGUAAUUAGUUAUAUAGGUUCACCAGGAAUACAUUUACAGUUUAGUUAGCGAGGAUAUUUUGAAAAAUAUCGGAUUACCGAUAUAUAUUUUUUAAACGAUUUUUGAUAGUUAUCGAUAAUUUCGUUGAAUGAUUACGAAUAUCGAUCGAUAUUGAAAAAUUAAACCGCGUAACUCUGAACGAUCUUUGAAAAUUGGAUCCAUUCUACCCUUUUUAAGCACAUAAAUAUAUAUAAAAUUGAAUUUUAGAUUAAUAAGAUUUUACACACAAGCAAUGCAAUAGCUUUCCACCCAUUUUCCUCAGUUGUUGGUAGAAAUAUUUCAUUGGUUUGGGCUCAUCAAUCAGCCUGGUCCGUUCCAACAGUUCGAUUUAGAUUUAUAACUGAAUAACGUGAAUAUAAUGGACUUCUUUAAUUGUGUUCGUUAACUUAAAA
Molecule: non-coding RNA, 1255 nt
Organism: Drosophila virilis
Lineage: Eukaryota; Metazoa; Arthropoda; Insecta; Diptera; Drosophilidae
Source: RefSeq, a predicted model, not a curated record